This 664-nucleotide ribosomal RNA is filed under the name uncultured Micromonosporaceae bacterium. Its description in RNAcentral is "bacterial SSU rRNA". It matches the Rfam family "Bacterial small subunit ribosomal RNA", at positions 136 to 816 of the family's 1533-position model. Lineage: Bacteria; Bacillati; Actinomycetota; Actinomycetes; Micromonosporales; Micromonosporaceae. The record is from RNAcentral.
CUUUGGGAUAACCCUCGGAAACGGGGGCUAAUACCGGAUAUGACCUCCUGUCGCAUGGUGGGGGGUGGAAGUUUUUCGGCCUGGGAUGGGCUCGCGGCCUAUCAGCUUGUUGGUGGGGUGAUGGCCUACCAAGGCGACGACGGGUAGCCGGCCUGAGAGGGCGACCGGCCACACUGGGACUGAGACACGGCCCAGACUCCUACGGGAGGCAGCAGUGGGGAAUAUUGCACAAUGGGCGGAAGCCUGGUGCAGCGACGCCGCGUGAGGGAUGACGGCCUUCGGGUUGUAAACCUCUUUCAGCAGGGACGAAGCGCGAGUGACGGUACCUGCAGAAGAAGCACCGGCCAACUACGUGCCAGCAGCCGCGGUAAGACGUAGGGCGCGAGCGUUGUCCGGAUUUAUUGGGCGUAAAGAGCUCGUAGGCGGCUUGUCGCGUCGACCGUGAAAACUUGGGGCUCAACCCCAGGCCUGCGGUCGAUACGGGCAGGCUAGAGUUCGGUAGGGGUGACUGGAAUUCCUGGUGUAGCGGCGAAAUGCGCAGAUAUCAGGAGGAACACCGGUGGCGAAGGCGGGUCUCUGGGCCGAUACUGACGCUGAGGAGCGAAAGCGUGGGGAGCGAACAGGAUUAGAUACCCUGGUAGUCCACGCUGUAAACGUUGGGCGC